AUGGCAAACUUGUCUUCGUAAGUGCGGCUGAAGAUUGUUGAUCUGUGUCCUUUAGAUCACUCAUCUGUCGACUCUGGAGGAGAAAUUCUCUCGUCUGUGGACUCAGUGUCAGCGCUGUCAAGGUUCACUGCAUGAAGAAGUGCUGUGUACCAGUCGAGACUGCCCCAUCUUUUACAUGAGGAAGAAAGUGCAGAAAGAUUUAGACGACCAGGAGAAGCUCGUCUCCCGUUUUGGUUGGUGAUGGACGAGGAUCUUUUCUUUUGUCUUCAGCUUUACCUCUAUCUUACCUCAGUGAAAGAGUCCGUCUCAUUCCGUUUUGUAAAGAAUCAUCAUUUUCUAGUCGCUGAAUAAAUACUGCAUUUUUUGUAAAA
Cyprinus carpio (common carp) is the source of this 371-nucleotide long non-coding RNA. RefSeq lists it as uncharacterized. The record is from RefSeq and is a predicted model, not a curated record. The transcript is spliced from 2 exons. NCBI's taxonomy places the organism in Eukaryota, Metazoa, Chordata, Actinopteri, Cypriniformes, Cyprinidae.